UAGGGAAUCUUCCACAAUGGACGAAAGUCUGAUGGAGCAACACCGCGUGAGUGAAGAAGGGUUUCGGCUCGUAAAGCUCUGUUGUUAAAGAAGAACACGUAUGAGAGUAACUGUUCAUACGUUGACGGUAUUUAACCAGAAAGUCACGGCUAACUACGUACCAG
This 164-nucleotide ribosomal RNA is filed under the name uncultured bacterium. RNAcentral describes it as "partial 16S ribosomal RNA". It matches the Rfam family "Bacterial small subunit ribosomal RNA", at positions 355 to 511 of the family's 1533-position model. The record is from RNAcentral.